AAAAUUAGAGUGUUCAAAGCAGGCAGAUUCAUUUUCUGCCACCGAAUACAUUAGCAUGGGAUAAUGGAAUAGGACCCUGUCCUCCUAUUUUCAGUUGGUUUUGGCAGCGCGAGGACUAGGGUAAUGAUUAAUAGGGAUAGUUGGGGGCAUUAAUAUUUAAUUGUCAGAGGUGAAAUUCUUGGAUUUAUGAAAGAUUAACUUCUGCGAAAGCAUCUGCCAAGGAUGUUUUCAUUAAUCAAGAACGAAAGUUAGGGGAUCGAAGACGAUCAGAUACCGUCGUAGUCUUAACCAUAAACGAUGCCGACCAGCGAUUAGGAGACGUUGAAUACAAAACACCACCAUCGGCGCGGUCGUCCUUGGCGCGUUCGUGUUCACGCACGGGCGCGCGAGGGCGGUUUAGCCCGGUGGCACCGGUGA
This 417-nucleotide ribosomal RNA is filed under the name Acanthamoeba sp. RNAcentral describes it as "SSU rRNA". It matches the Rfam family "Eukaryotic small subunit ribosomal RNA", at positions 762 to 1095 of the family's 1831-position model. Lineage: Eukaryota; Discosea; Longamoebia; Acanthamoebidae. The record is from RNAcentral.